RNAcentral lists this long non-coding RNA (966 nucleotides) under Homo sapiens (human). RNAcentral's name for it is "HSALNT0004635". Lineage: Eukaryota; Metazoa; Chordata; Mammalia; Primates; Hominidae. The record is from RNAcentral.
GAAAUGCCUGGGACAUCAUCGUUAAGUGGCAUCUGAUGCAUAAGCAGUGCCCUAGGAAUGGGGUUGCCUGCCUUGGUCUCUAAAGGAUGGGUUCAAAAGGCAAGAGCAGCACACAAGAAGAUAGCUUCAAGCAGGAGAUAAAGCUUGGCCCAGGGCCCAAAGGGGAUACGACCCUUCAGGUUGGCCCUGACCUCUGGGUUGGAUUACCAGUGACACAAUGAACAUUUCAUUAUGAGGCCAUCCCUUGAGCAAACUGACAUGCUGAAAGCUGCCCUAUGGAGAGGCUCAUGUGGCAAGGAACAGAGGGUGGCUUCUGGCCAACACCCAGUGAGGAACUCAGGCCCUCAGUCAAACAGCCUGCAAGGAACUGAACCCUGCCAAUAACCAGGCAGUGUCAGCCCCCGGCCAAUGACCACCAUGGACCUCCCUGUAGUUGAACAAAGUUGGGUUUGCUGACUGGUGGCAGUGAGGGAGAAUGCACACCACAGGGAGCUGUGCAGUGUCUCAGUAAGAAGCCAGGAGCCAUCCCGUGAGGCCGUUACUGCAAACAAGCUGAAAAUCCUGCUUUGUUUCUUUUGGACACAACAUGCUUUCCUUCAGCUUCAGUAGACGAUGAGGCCAGCACCACAUGGGCUAGAUGUACAUGAGAUGUGAGCAACCACACUUCCCCUCUGACGGGGACAGACAGCAUCACAGGACAUGAAGUUCUAAGAGGUUCAGUGACUUGUCUAAGAUUAAACAGCUAUGAAUGGAGAACUGGAGGCAAAUGCCUCAUCAUCUCUCACCUGGGCAACUGCAACAAUGAGCAGUUUGUGUCUGUGCCUGCAUCCAUCCUUCCAUCCUGUACUCCAGCAGCAGCCAGGGUGGUCUUUCAAAAAUGCAAAGCUGAUAAUGUUACUCCCCUGCUGUAAACCUUCCAGCGGUUUCCUAUUGCCUUCAGAAUAAAAUACGAAUCAUCUGGCCUCC